RNAcentral lists this long non-coding RNA (303 nucleotides) under Elaeis guineensis (African oil palm). Its description in RNAcentral is "long non-coding RNA (EGUI_LNC018186)". The record is from RNAcentral. Lineage: Eukaryota; Viridiplantae; Streptophyta; Magnoliopsida; Arecales; Arecaceae.
CCUCCAAAGGUAUGUUCCACUUAUAUUCAUCAUGCUUAUCUGAAAGUAGUUUACCUACAGUAAUUUGAAAUCACAUCUUUUAAAUGCUUUAGCUAAAGUAUCAUGACUAUAGGAGGCCUGAGCAUAACCCAAAUCUAUUGAAUUUUUUUUAAAAAUAAAAUAAAAAUUUAAAAAUGGUACUUAAAUCAGAUACCAACAAAGUAAUAAGGGAAAGAGGAAAAGAAGAAGGCUCAAAUCUACCAUUAAAAAAAUAAGGCACUGCAAAUUCCACUGCAUCUUUAACCAUGAGGUGGCUGUAAGUGG